RNAcentral lists this ribosomal RNA (282 nucleotides) under uncultured bacterium. RNAcentral describes it as "partial 16S ribosomal RNA". It matches the Rfam family "Bacterial small subunit ribosomal RNA", at positions 29 to 303 of the family's 1533-position model. The record is from RNAcentral.
AAUGAACGCUGGCGGCGCGCCUAAUACAUGCAAGUCGAGCGAGAAGACGUAGCAAUACGUUUGUAAAGCGGCGAACGGGUGAGGAAUACAUGGAUAACCUACCCUCGAGUGGGGAAUAACUAGCCGAAAGGUUAGCUAAUACCGCGUACGCUCCUUGGACUUCGGUUCAGGGAGGAAAGCGAUACCGUGGGUAUCGCGCUCUUGGUUGGGCUCAUGUCCUAUCAGCUUGUUGGGAGGUACGGCUCACCAAGGCUUCGACGGGUAGCUGGUCUGAGAGGAUGA